Molecule: long non-coding RNA, 714 nt
Organism: Eriocheir sinensis (Chinese mitten crab)
Lineage: Eukaryota; Metazoa; Arthropoda; Malacostraca; Decapoda; Varunidae
Exons: 3
Source: RefSeq, a predicted model, not a curated record
UGCAUAUGUAUGUUCUAUUCCACAGAUCACCAGUGUCAGCAAGCACAUUAAUUAUGUAAAGAAAAUGGCCUUCCAACUUGAUUUCACAACAGAAGGCUUCAGUAAUAUAAUUUUGAAAAAUGAAAAAGAUGAAAUACAAGUGAAAACUAAUGCAUUUAAUGAUGAGGACGCAUGGAGGUGGAAAGAAAUUUUUACUAUGAAGAAUAGUGUUUGCUUCAAUGUAUCAAGAUAUUUCACAGGUGUAAGAUACACAUUUCACCAGAAAUUCAUCUGCAUGCAUGGCGACAGACGCCAUAAAGGAGCUAUAAAAACAAACACAGGAUGCAGUGUAACAAUGGACAUGAAAAUCAAGCUCAUCACAAGAGACACCUACAAGAGAGAUAAGGAUGUCAGGACCCAUCCAUGUAUGAUCAUCAUAAAGGGUGUCCACAAUCAUCCUACAGACUCUGCAUCUGCUCUGCAACAACUGAGAGUUUUACCAGACACCAAGAAUGCUUACUUCAAGUACUUCAAUAUUGGCAUGUCUGUAGCGCAGGCUGCAAGAUGUUACCAAGAUCAAAUAAAUGUCAGUGCAAGUCUCGCUACUAAGGCCAAUUCUGCCAUAAAUCCCUCCCAUAGAGUCAUCUAUCACAUACGGAACCUGUGGCUCAAAGCAAACCAUGGCACUUUAGGAGGAGGAGAUAUGUUUGCUUCCAUUGAGAACUACGCUGCUAC